Molecule: long non-coding RNA, 6793 nt
Filed under: Medicago truncatula (barrel medic)
Lineage: Eukaryota; Viridiplantae; Streptophyta; Magnoliopsida; Fabales; Fabaceae
Description: long non-coding RNA (MTRU_LNC007247)
Source: RNAcentral
UUUUCUCCCUCCUUUCUAUUUUAUUCUUCAAACUUCUAUUAUUUUUAUCGAUAAAAACGGAAAGGUGUAGUUGAUCACCUCAAGUUGGGAUUAUCCAAAAAAAAUUGCUGUAGUUUUUUUAUACAAAGAAAAACAAUUGCUGUAGUUGAUAUACUUCAAGUUGGGAUUAUCCAAUUUUUCAUAAACAAAGAAUGUAGGUACUAGGUAAGAGUUUUAAACUAGAACUAGAAUAUAAAUUAAAUUAAGGAAUGUUUUUAAUCCAAUUUUUCAUAAACAAAGAAUGUAGGUACUAGGUAAGAGUUUUAAACUAGAACUAGAAUAUAAAUUAAAUUAAGGAAUGUUUUUAAUAAUUUGAUUUGUAAAUAGUAAAUAAGGGUACUACAGCUAAAGUAUAGGUAAUGUUGUUAACAACUGAUCAUUAUCCUUAUCUCACUAAAAAAAAAAAACUCAUCAUCCUUAUCAUCAUCUUCAAUUGUGUCUUUGUUCCUCUAUAAAUAUAAGUGAAAAUGAUUGCUCAAAAUAUAUUAGCAACAAUGUCUUUCUCACAUAUGUUUACUGCUUUUCUUUUCUCUUUGAUUGUGUGUUUGGUCAUUUCUGAAUGCCACGCUGAUGUUAAUGUUAAUGCUAGCCAUAUAUCAAAAUUAGUGAUUGAUGCACGUACUAGAAGGCCUAUUCCAGACACAUUCUUUGGAGCAUUUUUUGAGGUAAAUUAUAAUAUAUGUUUUGAUUACUGUAAAGAUUACUUAAUUAGUUAUUUGGUUAGUGACAUGACAACUUAUUAUUUAUUGAUUCAAUUAAUACAUAUUUUUUCCAGGAAAUUAAUCAUGCAGGAGCUGGGGGAUUGUGGGCAGAACUUGUGGAUAAUAGAGGUAUAUAUUGAUUGUCACUUAUUAAAAAAAAUCUUCAGUAAUUAACUCACCAACACUAAUUUUGGUGACCGAAUUAGAGAUAUGUUUCUUACAUUUCCUUUGUAAAUUAGUUUAUCUCACUAAUUUUGUGCCACUUUUUAUGUAUGAGAUAUUACCUGCUUUGAGUCUUUUUCUCCUUUANUNAAAAAGUCUCUUAGAUGGGUUGAGGUCUAACCAAGGACAAAUUCGUGAUUUAAUUAUUUUUAUUAUUCUAAAUUAAUGUUUCAGGUUUUGAAGNAGGGGGUUCCAAUGUUUCAUCAAAUAUCAAUCCAUGGAUAAUUAUUGNAGAUAAUUCAUCAUCGAUUAUCGUAUCAACUGAUCGUUCAUCUUGUUUUGAGNGUAAUAAGGUUGCUUUACGUUNAGAUGUUCUUUGUCAAGGACAAUCAUGUCCACUUGGUGGUGUUGGUAUCUCCAAUCCUGGAUUUUGGGGCAUGGUGAGUAUUAAUAUUCUAACAUUUUGUUUUGUAUAUGACAAAAAAAUUAAUGUCAUUUAUAACUAAUGUUUCUAAUAUUUUUACAAACAGAACAUUGAGCAAGGGAAAAAGUAUAAAGUGGUGUUCUAUGUUAGAUCACUUGGUCCUAUUAAUUUACAAGUUUCAUUUAUCGGAUCUGAUGAUGGAGUAAAAUUGGCUUCAACAAACAUAAGGUGAUAAUUUCAUCAUUAAUUAAUUUUUAAGCUACAUUGUAUAUUUUUAAUUUUUCAUCAAAUAAAUUGAGUUAUUGUAACUAAAAUUAACUAAUUGAGUUAUUAAUUAAUCGAUGUCAGUGCUUUUGGAGUUAAUGUUACAAAGUGGAGUAGGAUGGAGACAAUUCUUGAAGCUAAUGGUACAAAUCAUAAUUCAAGUCUACAAAUAACAACAAGCAAUAGAGGGGUAGUAUGGUUAGAUCAAGUGUCAGCUAUGCCCUUGGAUACAUAUAAGGUAUGAUAUUUUUCUUUUUCUUUUUUCUAUGUUUUAUUUUGACAAAUUGGCAAUGCAAUUAUUUUAUUUUAAUUUUUUUAGGAAAAUUCUUUUAAAUGGACUAACUUCAUUAAUCAAUAUAUCUUGGCAUAGGGUCAUGGUUUUCGAAGCGACCUUUAUCAAAUGGCGGCAGAUCUGAAGCCAAAAACUUUUAGAUUUUCAGGUAGGGUACAAUAAUAAGUUAAAAUUGUUAAGGUUGAUUUGAAUGAUAUCUCCUAUUCUAGCACUGUCUUUUUUAACAUUUAUUCAUUUAUAGAAUAAGUAAAAGUUAUAUGAGACUCACCAUUUUAUAUAGGGUCUAUUUUCAAUAUGGUAGGAUCUACAUAAUUUUUACUCAAUAAAAAGAUAUUUGUUAAAAAAUGUAUGUUAGGCAAUAUUGCCAAAAAAAAAGCAUUGUUUCUUAGGCAAUAAUAAAUUUAAAAUAAUUAUAUUUUUACUAUUCAAUACUUAGUUCACAUGUUUUCAAAAAAAUGUUGAGUUCAUAUGUUAAAUUAAGAGUCGGAAAACAUAACACACAAAAAUCACUCAUAAGUUUUGUUAAUUUCUUUUACAAUCUCAUGCAAAAAUUCAUGCAUUUUUAUUAUAGGUGGGGAAGUUUGAUAUCCAUCUAUAUUAUAAAAUAAAAAAAUAAAAAAUUAUGUAAACCUAACACAAUUUUUUUUGUUUUGUUAUAGGUGGUUGUUAUGUAGAAGGAGAUUAUCUGAGAAAUGCAUUUAGAUGGAAAGAUACAGUUGGACCAUGGGAAGAGAGACCUGGCCACUUUAAUGACAUAUGGAAUUAUUGGACUGAUGAUGGAUUUGGUUAUUUUGAGGGGCUUCAAGUAAUUUUAUUUCCUUUCUAAAAUAUUAAUCCUUUCCUUAUCAAAAUGAAAAAUCUAAGUCUUAUUGUUUAUUGAAACAGCUAUCAGAGGAUCUUGGUGCAUUCCCAGUGUGGGUGUUUAACAGUGGUAUUGUUCUUCCUAAAAAAUCCAUUAUAAAGUCUAGUCCCUAAGUUAUUUAUUUUUCUUUCUUUUUAAUUGCUAAUUUAUCUAUUGUCUCUUAUAGGUAUUAGCCAUCAUGAUGAAGUUAAUACGUCUGAUAUUUCACCAUUUGUGCAAGUAUACUUUUCUUCACAGUAUUUUUCAUUUUUUUAUAGAAAUUAUUUUUUAUUCUUCAGCAGUAUUUUUAAUUUUAUUUAUUUAUUUAUUAUUAUUUAUAUUUACACUUUGGAUCAUUAAUUAAUAGGAAGCCCUAGAUGGUAUUGAGUUUGCUAGAGGUUCUUCCACAUCACAAUGGGGUUCUCUUAGAGCUUCCAUGGGACAUCCUGAGCCAUUUGAUUUGAGAUUUGUUGCCAUUGGAAAUGAAGACUGUCAUAAAUAUAACUAUCUAGGUAUAACUUUUUUAAGUUAAUUUGGAAGACAAAUUGAAUUUUUUUUUAUGUAUAUUUAAUCAAAAAAUAUUUGAUAAGUGAGGUGGUUGAGCAAUUAAUACACUUUAGUUUACUAAUUUGUAUUUUUUUUUUUAUUGAAUAGGAAACUACCUAAAGUUCUAUGAAGCUAUAAAACAUGAUUAUCCUGAUAUUCAAAUUAUCUCAAAUUGUGACGGUUCUAUACAUCAAUUAGAUCACCCAGCAGAUCUCUAUGAUUUUNAUGUAAUAGUCUUUCUUUUUUUUUGUUCUUCCAAUUUUUAAAGUUAUUAAUUUUGUAUUUCAGUUUAAGCCACUUACAUUUUAUAUAUCCUUGUUAAUAAUACUUUUUAUUUUUAUUAAUANAUUUAUACAGAUUCUAAGGACAUGUUUUCCGAUUAUACCAAGUUCGAUAACGCACCAAGAUCCGGUCCAAAGGUUUGAUUAAUAAUUCUUUAUAGAAAUAAAAAUUUCUUGAUAGGUGAAUUUUCUCAAGUUUUAUUAAUUUCUACAAUAAAUAUACAGGCAUUUGUUAGUGAGUAUGCUGUUUGGAAGGAAGAUGCUGGUGCUGGAAGCCUUUAUGCAGCUGUUGCUGAAGCUGCAUUUCUCAUUGGGCUUGAAAAGAAUAGGUUUGAUUAUAUAUAACUAUAGUUAUAUAGCUAUAUAGCCAUAGCUUUUCAUGAAAUUUGAUUUAUAAGGUUUAAUAUUAUGAACUAGUAUGUGUUAUUUUGAGCUAAGUUUUAAUCAUAUUUCAAUUUUAUACUUUUUCUGCAGUGAUAUUGUUAGCAUGGUUGCAUAUGCACCACUCUUUUUAAACACAAACGACAGAAAGUAAUUUUCCUAUGUUUUACCAUUUAUUUUUAUUUAUCAUUUAUAUAUGUAAUUUUUUUUUAUUUUAUGUAAAAGAUAGAGAUGAUUAUUUAAUCUAUUUUUCAUCAAAAUAGGUGGAUACCAGAUGCAAUUGUUUUUAACUCUUAUCAGAAUUAUGGAACUCCAAGUUAUUGGCUACAACANCUCUUUAUUGAAUCUAGUGGAGCAACAUUGCUUAAUUCAACUCUUCAAAAUUCUUCUAGCUCAAUUGUUGCAUCCGCAAUUGAGUAUAAAAAUUCUCAAGAUGGGAAGAAUUAUCUAAGAGUAAAGGUAAUGGUAACUUGAAUUUUUAUCAAAAGUGAAUGUUGAUUUAAAUCUUGAAAAAUGUUUAAUCUUUUUUUACGGUAAAUGCUAAGAAUGAAGAUUAUAACUCAAUUAAUUAACUUUGAAAUUAUUGACUUUUACAGGUAGUCNACUUUGGAAAUGCCACUGAGAACUUCAUGAUUUCAAUAAAUGGUUUAAAUUCAAUUGUUCAAUCGUCUAAUUCAUCAAUGGUGGUGCUUACGUCCUCCAAUAGAAUGGAUGAGAAUUCCUUCUCGGAGCCAAAUAAGGUUACAAAUUUUUUUCAUCACAAAAUAUUAUUAAAGUUUCACCCUUCGAACAUGAUGAUUUUCCUCCUUUUUGAAAUAUGUAGUUUGUCACAUGUGCCCAUUGAAAUAUGUUAGUAUUUGUGACGAGGACUAAAAAUUAUUUUCUAAAGAUAGAGACGAAAAACUUAUUUAACCACGUAGUCUUUGAUUGUGUUAAAACUAAAUAUAUGAUUAUUUUAUGUAUAUACAGAUUGUGCCCCAAAGAACUGCACUUGGAAAUGCAAGCAAUGACAUGGAUGUUAGACUUCCUCCUUAUUCAGUUACAUCAUUUGAUCUAUCAAUCUAAAAUACGAUGGUUGGAUGUUGUUUUGUAUUUUGAAAGAAGGGCGUAAUGUUGCUUAGAGUCGAAAUUGGGAGAAAUGUAUACAUUUCUCGGUUCAAAAAAUGUAUAUAUUUUUAUUUCAUAAAUAAAUUAUUUCACCUUUUUGUACCAACUUUUUUUAUUUCUCCUUUAUCUUAAUGUUGAUAUUCACUACCUACUAAAGUACCUUUAUUAUUACCAUUAGUUUGCACUUUCUAUUAGUAUAUGUGUAUCUGAAUUCUGAAUAACUUCGGAGAAAUUUUUCAAAGAAUAACGUAAGUUGUUCAAGAGAUUUGUAUGGUCUCUAGAUUACCUACAAUGUUGAUAUUUUUAUAUUAUAAGUUUUUAUUUGAAAUUGAACUCCUGAUCACGCAAUUUUAGGUAUGAGUUUUAAGUGUGUUUAUCACUUUAACUAAUAAAAAAAAUGUCCAGGGCUUCUUUAACUUUGGGGAGUUCUUCUCAAGCUAUGUCCGCUUACGAAGUUGGGGAGCUUGGCCAAUCUCUCCAUCGCCCUAACCUUUGAAAGAGGAUACUCUUUUUUGGCACUAAGAUAUCUUUCGCCCGAUUCGACAUCGGAAGAAGCCCCAUUAACGUAAAAAUAUGGUAGCUUUUAAAGGAAAAUAUGUUGAAAAUGUUUAUUGUUCCCCCUCCUUCAUCUUUAUAAGCAAUAAAGGAUUUUACCAUCUACUAGAAUUUGAUUAUGACUUACUGAUAUUGGUAAAGAAAACAGAGAUAGUACUUGUCUCUAAAAAUGUCAAUAUUUCCUUUAUGAAAGUGGUGGCAAACAAGACUCGAGAGUAACUUAAGUCCUUGGAAAAUUUGUCCCUUCAUCAAAAGCUAUACAAAAAUAAAAGCCACAUAGAGAGGUGCACCAUGUUCUAAGUAAACCCAACUUUGGUUAUUAUAGUUAAAAAAUAAUAAUUUCUCAAUCACUAAAAAAUAAAAUUAUCCAUCAAGGCCUUGGUCUUAUGAAGUUGCAACCAAUAAUUUUUUUUUUUCUUUCUUUCUUUUCUAGCCAUAGAGAAAGAUGACAUUGAUUGCAGGCAUUCCUUCAAGCUAUCUAUGGGGUUCACUUGAACGGUCCAAUUUUCUACCGAUAAGGCAUUCCUUCAAUUAUUAAUUGUGUUAAUGAAACAUAAAUGUUGAUUGAAAGCAAAAAAGGAAACCUAAUAUUAUUAAAAUGAUCAAGAAUGGUGACACACAUGGUUAUUGAGAAGACUUAAAUGUAAUCCAUUAGAUUAAGAUAAAAUUAAAGGUGGAGAUNUGGAGUAACUCCUUAGAGUUACUCUUGGAGUCAAUAUAUCCUUCCCAUAUAUAUAUAUAUGGAAUACAAGCUUUUUGUGUUACUUUUAUCUUUUGUAUAACUAUUUAAUUUACAACUUAAUCAUUCUUUAUUUAAUCAAAUAAGCAAAUUUUCGAUAUCUAUACCUUUAUGUAAAAAAUACUAAAUUUAAUUUGGUGUAACAUUUUUCUUUAUUUUGUUAAACCAUUUUCUCCCUCCUUUCUAUUUUAUUCUUCAAACUUCUAUUAUUUUUAUCGAUAAAAACGGAAAGGUGUAGUUGAUCACCUCAAGUUGGGAUUAUCCAAAAAAAAAAUUGCUGUAGUUUUUUUAUACAAAGAAAAACAAUUGCUGUAGUUGAUAUACUUCAAGUUGGGAUUAUCCAAUUUUUCAUAAACAAAGAAUGUAGGUACUAGGUAAGAGUUUUAAACUAGAACUAGAAUAUAAAAUUAAAUUAAGGAAUGUUUUUAAUCCAAUUUUUCAUAAACAAAGAAUGUAGGUAC